CCUUCAGUCUGACUUCCUCGGCUGCUUGACAGAUCCUGCAAAUGAUUUAGUCUUAAAAGCUGUUAAUGUCUCAUCUUUUAGCUCAUCUGCAAACAAAGCCGACGCACAGUAUGAUAAAACGAGUGUCACGCGACUCACCUAAGAAGUGAUGUGUUGUUGGUUGGAAGCAGAGCUCUGGACGUGUGGACAGAUGUUGACUGUAAUGAUGGACAUCUGCUCAUGGACAGUGUGUGCAAAAGUAUAACCGCUGCGGGUCACAGUGCUGGAAGCUCCAGGGGGAGACCGUAAUGAUAUCCCCCUUCUUCAGGCGCGCCUUCACACACACUCCUCCAUUCACCCGUAUCGCAGAGACCUGGCUGGGAUCGAACCAGCAACCUCUGAACCAUGAGGCAGCGCUCUUACCUGCGAGCCACAGAUCUCUUGCUGGAGCACCUGAAGGAACUUAUAUUUGACUGUUUACCUGUGAUUACCCAAUAAAGAAGUUAAAAUAA
This is an RNA transcript of Cyprinus carpio (common carp), 491 nucleotides long. RefSeq lists it as uncharacterized. The record is from RefSeq and is a predicted model, not a curated record. Lineage: Eukaryota; Metazoa; Chordata; Actinopteri; Cypriniformes; Cyprinidae.